AGGUUGCCGGACGGCCGCAGGCGCCUUGUGCGCAUGAGGAAAGUCCGAGCUCCGCAGGGCAGGGUGCCGGGUAACCCCCGGUGGAGGCGACUCCAAGGAAAGUGCAACAGAGAUAUACCGCGGCCCCGCGAGGGGACGUAAGGGUGGAAAGGUGAGGUAAGAGCUCACCAGCGGCCUGGCGACUCGUCCGCUCUGUAAACCCCACCUGGUGCAAGAUUAAAAGGGGAGCGCAUAUGGCGGCCCGUCAUGCUCCCGGGUAAUCGCUUGAGCCCACUGGCAACAGUGGGCCUAGACAGAUGGCCGUUCAAGACAGAACUCGGCUUAUAGACA
Molecule: RNase P RNA, 330 nt
Filed under: Candidatus Faecaligallichristensenella faecipullorum
Lineage: Bacteria; Bacillati; Bacillota; Clostridia
Description: Bacterial RNase P class A
Rfam family: Bacterial RNase P class A
About the family: Ribonuclease P (RNase P) is a ubiquitous endoribonuclease, found in archaea, bacteria and eukarya as well as chloroplasts and mitochondria.
Source: RNAcentral